RNAcentral lists this ribosomal RNA (496 nucleotides) under uncultured bacterium. RNAcentral's name for it is "partial 16S ribosomal RNA". It matches the Rfam family "Bacterial small subunit ribosomal RNA", at positions 28 to 506 of the family's 1533-position model. The record is from RNAcentral.
GAUGAACGCUGGCGGCGUGCCUAAUACAUGCAAGUCGAGCGAACAGACGAGGAGCUUGCUCCUCUGACGUUAGCGGCGGACGGGUGAGUAACACGUGGAUAACCUACCUAUAAGACUGGGAUAACUUCGGGAAACCGGAGCUAAUACCGGAUAAUAUAUUGAACCGCAUGGUUCAAUAGUGAAAGACGGUUUUGCUGUCACUUAUAGAUGGAUCCGCGCCGCAUUAGCUGGUUGGUAAGGUAACGGCUUACCAAGGCAACGAUGCGUAGCCGACCUGAGAGGGGGAUCGGCCACACUGGAGCUGAGACACGGUCCAGACUCCUACGGGAGGCAGCAGUAGGGAAUCUUCCGCAAUGGGCGAAAGCCUGACGGAGCAACGCCGCGUGAGUGAUGAAGGUCUUCGGAUCGUAAAACUCUGUUAUUAGGGAAGAACAAAUGUGUAAGUAACGAUGCACGUCUUGACGGUACCUAAACAGAAAGCCACGGCUAACUACGU